GUGGAUGUAGCUCAGCUGGUUAGAGCACCGGAUUGUGAUUCCGGGGGUCGCGGGUUCGAAUCCCGUCUUCCACCCCA
RNAcentral lists this transfer RNA (77 nucleotides) under Lysobacter arseniciresistens ZS79. Its description in RNAcentral is "tRNA-His". It matches the Rfam family "tRNA". Rfam says of the family: Transfer RNA (tRNA) molecules are approximately 80 nucleotides in length. Their secondary structure includes four short double-helical elements and three loops (D, anti-codon, and T loops). The record is from RNAcentral. RNAcentral also lists the same sequence under 1 other name. Lineage: Bacteria; Pseudomonadati; Pseudomonadota; Gammaproteobacteria; Lysobacterales; Lysobacteraceae.